GAUGAACGCUGGCGGCGUGCCUAAUACAUGCAAGUCGAGCGAACGGACGAGAAGCUUGCUUCUCUGAUGUUAGCGGCGGACGGGUGAGUAACACGUGGAUAACCUACCUAUAAGACUGGGAUAACUUCGGGAAACCGGAGCUAAUACCGGAUGAUAUUUUGAACCGCAUGGUUCAAAAGUGAAAGACGGUCUUGCUGUCACUUAUAGCUGGUUCCGCGCUGCAUUAGCUAGUUGGUAAGGUAACGGCUUACCAAGGCAACGAUGCAUAGCCGACCUGAGAGGGUGAUCGGCCACACUGGAACUGAGACACGGUCCAGACUCCUACGGGAGGCAGCAGUAGGGAAUCUUCCGCAAUGGGCGAAAGCCUGACGGAGCAACGCCGCGUGAGUGAUGAAGGUCUUCGGGUCGUAAAACUCUGUUAUUAGGGAAGAACAUAUGUGUAAGUAACUGUGCACAUCUUGACGGUACCUAAUCAGAAAGCCACGGCUAACUACGUG
This 497-nucleotide ribosomal RNA is filed under the name uncultured bacterium. Its description in RNAcentral is "partial 16S ribosomal RNA". It matches the Rfam family "Bacterial small subunit ribosomal RNA", at positions 28 to 507 of the family's 1533-position model. The record is from RNAcentral.